This is a non-coding RNA of Ictidomys tridecemlineatus (thirteen-lined ground squirrel), 218 nucleotides long. NCBI's taxonomy places the organism in Eukaryota, Metazoa, Chordata, Mammalia, Rodentia, Sciuridae. The record is from RefSeq and is a predicted model, not a curated record.
GCUGAGGCUGGCUUUGAACUUGGAAUCCUCCUGCCUGAGACUCAGUUACAGAACUUCUUUUGACAAUUUGGUGUCAGGAGUUGCUGGCAAAGGUUUUUCAGCAAGCCAAAAGCUUCCACCGUCUGCUGACUGCCAGUUUCUGAAGACUUUCAUUGAUUUCCAGCCCUAUGUGAUGUGCCUCAGCCUGUUUUUCUUUAUUGUAUUCUAUUUGGUGUUCA